Molecule: non-coding RNA, 3602 nt
Organism: Solanum lycopersicum (tomato)
Lineage: Eukaryota; Viridiplantae; Streptophyta; Magnoliopsida; Solanales; Solanaceae
Source: RefSeq, a predicted model, not a curated record
CCAACAAGGCAACAACCGAGAAACACAAAGAGUCCAUGACCCGGUUUUCCCCCCAAAUCGACUAUGUCAAAACCCUAGAAGACCCUUUACCGUGGCGGGUGGCGUCGCAACACUAGCCAUUUGUAUCCAUCCGGGUCAGGCUACAUUCCUCGGACCCAUUCUUCCUUAGCAGUGACUUCCAUACUGAAUCUAGGGUGUGGAGUUGAAAAAGGAACUGCAGACAAUGGGGGUUGUAUUUUCAAAGAAGAGUAAAAUGAUAUGGAGACAUUGGUUCAAGGUUGAUAAUAGCCUUAAGCAACAAAUAUACUUGUCUCGUAUUAAAGAUAAUCUUGUGUUCUUAACAAAUGGUUAGGAAAACACAUCACUUGCAAAGGCCACAAUUCACUUUAAUGCAAGAUGAGUCAAUCUGUUGGUUUAGGGCGACAACACUUGAAUCUGAUGGCAUGCAAUUACAAAGAAGGUGUUUCUAAGUAGUGCAUUUAUUUGCUAUGAGCCCCAGACGUUCAAGGUGUUAUCUGUGCUGAGUGGUGAUAGUGGUUUGCAAGGUUUGAAGCAUAUUAUUGCAUUGUCAAAUGUACAUAUUGCUCUUUCAGGUUGGUACAUAAAUGCCUCUUCAAUUGCUAUGUGUGUAUGUUUGUGUGUGUUUACAUAUAUAAUGUAUAUAUGUAUGUGUGUGUGUCUUUUUAUAUUUAAAGUAUUAUGUGUCCUUAUAAUGGAAAUGUAAGUCAUCUGCAACAGAAGACAUGAGGAGAGAAAAGUGAAUGUAGAUUAUUUCAGCACAUAAGAUUACAUAGUUAGCUUCUGACUGAUACUCCUUUAUUUCUUUUUUCAUGUCAUUUCUCGUCUUUCUAUGUUUUUGAUUUGGUAACAAUUAUAUUCUUUUCAUGGCAUUUAUUCAAUAAAAUGAUAAUUGUUGUUUCUUGAUAUACUCUAAUAGCUGAUUAGAUGCUCAUUUGGCCUUCCCUCCUUGGUGAACAAAUAAGAAUUGCUUAAUACACUAGUGUGUUUUUGAUAAAGGAGACUAAUCUACAAGGAGAUUACACAGGCAAAUAUGGACUUCUUAGUUUCCUGGUUGAGCACUAUGCAGACAGGAAGUUAGUAGGCUUCAAAACAAGUUAUCUGAUUCAGCUCUGUCCAGAAAUUUUUAGAGAAUAUGUAGUCAGGGAUUGUUUGGUUGAUAACAUAAGAAAGUAUCACCGCACACAAAUUUCUACAUGUCUGAUAUACUAUGUUUGAUUUGCAACAUAAAACUCUGUACUGCUAAUUUAAUUUCCGGUGUAAAACUAUGCAUAACAAAUAUUCCUUCCGUCCCAAUUUAAGUGUCUUGGUUUGAGUAAGCACAGCGUUUAAGAAACAAAGGGAGACUUUUGAAUCUCGUGGUCUUAAAUAAAAAUGUGUGUAGUCUUUAUUGUGGUCUUAAACUUGCCAGGUAGAUUGUUGAAACUGGAAAACUUACUAAUAUAGAAAGAGUCAGUCUUUCUAGGACAAUCAAGAAGGAAAGUAAGAGCAUGUUUGGAUUGACUUAUUUUAAGUGUUUUAAGCACUUAUCUAGUGUUUGGGUAAGAUAAAAUAAUGCUUUUAAGCACUUAUCUAGUGUUUGGGUAAGAUAAAAUAAUGCUUUUAAGCACUUGUGUCUAAGCCAAAAACUACAAGUCCAUCCAAACAGGCUCUACGACACUUAAACUUGAGAUGGAGGGAAUACUCUUUUGUUGUGAUACUAAAGUAUGUAUUGCUAAUACCAACAUAAUUAUGUGUGAUAUAGUGUAUUAUCUUAUGUGGGAUAGGAUACGGAAUAAAAAUAGUAAUUAUCGAUACUUGGAUAAGAGUAUCUAGAAGCAUAAACUUUGCUUUCAAAGUAGACAAUUAUUCAGCUCAUAACAAUCCCUACAUUGAUAUUCAUUGCAUAACACUCCUUCAUCAUGAUCCCUGCAUAAACUAGUCCGCAAACCAAAUGGCCCCUCCAGGUAUGAAUAGGGUGUGUGCCUGUUUCCUAUAUGAAGACCUUGAGGACAUGCAACAAGUGGGCAGAGUAAGGCUGGGAUGUCUCUCCAAUUCUUUUAAGCCAAGUAUAAUCAUAUUCAUGUUAGGAAUAUCUCUUUUCUUGAGAAUUGCUAUAUAUGCCAAAUAUACUUGUCAAAUUUUUUUAUCACAGCAGCGGUAGAUCACAUGUCAUAAAAAAGAUAUGCCAUUAAUGGGAAAUACGUUACUUAUUCCUAGAGAUAAUUUCUUUAUAAAGAUUGUGGUCAGAUUUUGUUAUGGUCUUUAUCUAUCUCUAUCACGAACCAUGUGCAAUGACUGCCCACUCUUUUAGGAUAUAUUGGCAUAUCGCAUGAUCAAGCCAGUUGUACUCUUUGGUUGUUCUGUCCUGUCUGAUCCAAUUGAUUGUAAUGUGUGACCCCUCAGCGGUUGUAAUUAUUGCAUUAAGGUGUAAAAAGGUACUCUAUUGAUUUAUUUUUCUUGUGAAUUUGUAUUCCUCCACUUCUUUGAUAAUGAUAGCUGGUAGGUUCCAUUCAUUACUAUUGUAAUCUCAAUCCACUUAGCUUGUACAGUCACAUUCAUUAGGCACUUGUAUGAGAGACACAUUGAUUCAACCACAAUCAAACAUAGAAGGCUGCCAUAACCUGUCAAUGUUAAACAAGGAUUGGGAGAACUGCUUUUCUAGAGAUCACACACUUUAUAUUGUAGAUUUGGUAUCGAAAGUAGUAAAGGAAAGAUGUAGAUUUUGAAUGUAGAAAUGGUAGUUUAUCAAUUCAGCAACGUAUAUGCAGUUAUAAAGAAGGGAAGGUAUGAUAGGAUUUGCAUGCGAUUUUGUCCUUCAUCGUCUCGAAAGCGAAAAAUCAUUCGUUUGUUAAUCUAUUUAGCGGUUGCUAAUUAUGAACUUCAAUACACAGCUAUUUGGCCCGCCUAAGUGCGGGCCCUUGAUGGCUCGCAUGACCUUGUAGGAAGGUCCUUCCAAUGAGUUGCAGUAUGCGCGUUUGCUGGCACGUAGGGAUCCAGCUGUCAGCACUGGACCCGAGCUGCGAUCAAGUUAAUAAUCACACCUUUCUUAGUGCCCAAGGAAGUAGUCCACAUUCUCAACUGUGCAUGUGCACAUGAAGCACCAAGUAACAGCAGUAUAUGCAAUGCUCCGGCGUUCUCAUGUUCUCGGAUCUUAGCGCUGGACCCAAGCUGAUAAACAUAUCUUUCUUGGUGCUCAGUUGGAUCAUACAACUCGUGGAGGACUUAUUCCUGGAACGUGGUCAGUAAUACUGGGUGUCCCUUAUACAGCAGCAACAUAAAACCUUGGUCAGAAACUAGUAUUAGGCUGAAUGGUCAAUUAUCCAGGCUGUGGUGCAAACAUGCUUCAGCAAGAUUCCAAUGGAUGAACUUAUGAUAGUUCAACAGUUGUAGAAGUUAUAGAAAUUAAGAUGACAGUACACUGUUUGUUUGUCUGUUGAAAUUUGUCUUGUAAUAGAGUCCAACUUGAUUGAAAACCUGAGACUGGCGGAGUCUCCUGUCAAUGAUUUGAAGGUCUGUUUUGGACUCGAAAAGUCCAAUGAUCUUCGAUUUUACAAACAAACAACUAUGCCCCUUUUCCGAGCAAGUUGAGUUAAUUAUAUGAA